CCUUCGAUAGCUCAGCUGGUAGAGCGGAGGACUGUAGAGGCGAGCUUCCCUUGUAGGAAUCCUUAGGUCGCUGGUUCGAUUCCGGCUCGAAGGA
This 94-nucleotide transfer RNA is filed under the name Anolis carolinensis (green anole). It matches the Rfam family "tRNA". Rfam says of the family: Transfer RNA (tRNA) molecules are approximately 80 nucleotides in length. Their secondary structure includes four short double-helical elements and three loops (D, anti-codon, and T loops). The record is from Rfam by way of RNAcentral. Lineage: Eukaryota; Metazoa; Chordata; Lepidosauria; Squamata; Anolidae.